CGCGUAGGCGGCUGAUUUAGUCGAGGGUGAAAGCCCGUGGCUCAACCACGGAAUGGCCUUCGAUACUGGUUGGCUUGAGACCGGAAGAGGACAGCGGAACUGCGAGUGUAGAGGUGAAAUUCGUAGAUAUUCGCAAGAACACCAGUGGCGAAGGCGGCUGUCUGGUCCGGUUCUGACGCUGAGGCGCGAAAGCGUGGGGAGCAAACAGGAUUAGAUACCCUGGUAGUCCACGCUGUAAACGAUGAAUGCUA
RNAcentral lists this ribosomal RNA (251 nucleotides) under uncultured bacterium. RNAcentral's name for it is "partial 16S ribosomal RNA". It matches the Rfam family "Bacterial small subunit ribosomal RNA", at positions 568 to 818 of the family's 1533-position model. The record is from RNAcentral.